GAUGAACGCUGGCGGCGUGCCUAAUACAUGCAAGUCGAGCGAACGGACGAGAAGCUUGCUUCUCUGAUGUUAGCGGCGGACGGGUGAGUAACACGUGGAUAACCUACCUAUAAGACUGGGAUAACUUCGGGAAACCGGAGCUAAUACCGGAUAAUAUUUUGAACCGCAUGGUUCAAAAGUGAAAGACGGUCUUGCUGUCACUUAUAGAUGGAUCCGCGCUGCAUUAGCUAGUUGGUAAGGUAACGGCUUACCAAGGCAACGAUGCAUAGCCGACCUGAGAGGGUGAUCGGCCACACUGGAACUGAGACACGGUCCAGACUCCUACGGGAGGCAGCAGUAGGGAAUCUUCCGCAAUGGGCGAAAGCCUGACGGAGCAACGCCGCGUGAGUGAUGAAGGUCUUCGGAUCGUAAAACUCUGUUAUUAGGGAAGAACAUAUGUGUAAGUAACUGUGCACAUCUUGACGGUACCUAAUCAGAAAGCCACGGCUAACUACGUGCCAGCAGCCGCGGUAAUACGUAGGUGGCAAGCGUUAUCCGGAAUUAUUGGGCGUAAAGCGCGCGUAGGCGGUUUUUUAAGUCUGAUGUGAAAGCCCACGGCUACACCGUGGAGGGUCAUUGGAAACUGGAAAACUUGAGUGCAGAAUUAGGAAAGUGGAGUCCCAUGUGUAGCGGUGAAAUGCGCAGAGAUAUGGAGGAACACCAGUGGCGAAGGCGACUUUCUGGUCUGUAACUGACGCUGAUGUGCGAAAGCGUGGGGAUCAAACAGGAUUAGAUACCCUGGUAGUCCACGCCGUAAACGAUGAGUGCUAAGUGUUAGGGGGUUUCCGCCCCUUAGUGCUGCAGCUAACGCAUUAAGCACUCCGCCUGGGGAGUACGACCGCAAGGUUGAAACUCAAAGGAAUUGACGGGGACCCGCACAAGCGGUGGAGCAUGUGGUUUAAUUCGAAGCAACGCGAAGAACCUUACCAAAUCUUGACAUCCUUUGACAACUCUAGAGAUAGAGCCUUCCCCUUCGGGGGACAAAGUGACAGGUGGUGCAUGGUUGUCGUCAGCUCGUGUCGUGAGAUGUUGGGUUAAGUCCCGCAACGAGCGCAACCCUUAAGCUUAGUUGCCAUCAUUAAGUUGGGCACUCUAAGUUGACUGCCGGUGACAAACCGGAGGAAGGUGGGGAUGACGUCAAAUCAUCAUGCCCCUUAUGAUUUGGGCUACACACGUGCUACAAUGGACAAUACAAAGGGCAGCGAAACCGCGAGGUCAAGCAAAUCCCAUAAAGUUGUUCUCAGUUCGGAUUGUAGUCUGCAACUCGACUACAUGAAGCUGGAAUCGCUAGUAAUCGUAGAUCAGCAUGCUACGGUGAAUACGUUCCCGGGUCU
This 1373-nucleotide ribosomal RNA is filed under the name uncultured bacterium. Its description in RNAcentral is "bacterial SSU rRNA". It matches the Rfam family "Bacterial small subunit ribosomal RNA", at positions 28 to 1381 of the family's 1533-position model. The record is from RNAcentral.